AAGGGAGACCUAAUUCGGGUAGGAGACGAAAAAAAAGUAGUCCCUACCAAGAAUCAAUCCCAAAAGGUCGGAACGAGGUAUGAGGCUUUCAAACUAGGUUCUGGGUUCAUAAAAGACCUGAAUCAGGAACAAGGGCUAUUAGCUCAGGUGGUUAGAGCGCACCCCUGAUAAGGGUGAGGUCCCUGGUUCGAGUCCAGGAUGGCCCACCUGCACAGGUGGCAAAAACAAGAGAAGCUCCGAAUCAGCACCUUAUCUUAUAUACAUAUAUAAGAGAGAAUGCUGGCUCUGAGUACAGAGUCCAGAGGAACCUUGAAAACUGCAUAGAGCUAGGUGAAAAAGCCAAAAAAGAAGACCGCAA
Molecule: transfer RNA, 358 nt
Filed under: uncultured Microcystis sp.
Lineage: Bacteria; Bacillati; Cyanobacteriota; Cyanophyceae; Chroococcales; Microcystaceae
Description: partial 16S-23S ribosomal RNA intergenic spacer
Rfam family: tRNA (bases 133-206)
Source: RNAcentral